AGAGUUUGAUCCUGGCUCAGAACGAACGUUGGCGGCAUGGAUUAGGCAUGCAAGUCGAGGGAAUCCCAGCAAUGGGGGAACCGGCGUAAGGGGCAGUAAGGCAUGGGUACCUACCCUGAAGUUCGGGAUAGCCAUCAGAGAUGGUGGGUAAUACCGGAUGAUGUCGUGAGACCAAAGAUUUAUCGCUUUGGGAGGGGCCCAUGUGAUAUUAGCUAGUUGGUGAGGUAACGGCUCACCAAGGCAAAGAUGUCUAGCGGGUAUGAGAGUACGACCCGCGCCACUCGCACUGAGACACUGGCGAGACACCUACGGGUGGCUGCAGUCGAGGAUCUUCGGCAAUGGGCGAAAGCCUGACCGAGCGAUGCCGCGUGCGCGAUGAAGGCCUUCGGGUUGUAAAGCGCUUUAGUGGGGGAGAAAAGCCCGAAAGGGUUUGAUCUAUCCCAAAAAUAAGCUCGGGCUAAGUUCGUGCCAGCAGCCGCGGUAAGACGAACCGUGCGAACGUUGUUCGGAAUCACUGGGCUUAAAGGGCGCGUAGGCGGGCGGGCAAGUCGGAGGUGAAAGCCCCCAGCUCAACUGGGGAAGUGCCCUCGAUACUGCCGGCCUGGAGGGAGGUAGGGGCGUGCGGAACUUCCGGUGGAGCGGUGAAAUGCGUAGAUAUCGGAAGGAACACCGGUGGCGAAGGCGGCACGCUGGGCCUCUCCUGACGCUGAGGCGCGAAAGCCAGGGGAGCGAACGGGAUUAGAUACCCCGGUAGUCCUGGCCCU
RNAcentral lists this ribosomal RNA (764 nucleotides) under uncultured Planctomycetota bacterium. RNAcentral's name for it is "bacterial SSU rRNA". It matches the Rfam family "Bacterial small subunit ribosomal RNA", at positions 8 to 803 of the family's 1533-position model. Lineage: Bacteria; Pseudomonadati; Planctomycetota. The record is from RNAcentral.